CUCUAAAAAUAGAAAAAAAACCUUCUAAGAGCAAUUUCUUAAAAAGCCUGGACAUUUCAAAAUAAACAAAACAUCACUGAAUGUUGUCCUUAAAUGACCUCACUGUAUUUUAAUCUCUUCCAUUUCCUUUAACAGUCUUGUCCCCUAACAUAACUCAGUAAAGCAAGACAUUUCUUGCCAUAAAAUAGUUUUGAUUUAAUUAAACACUCAUAUUCAUACAACACAUUCUAAAGACUUGAGGCAGCAGCUUACAUUCAUAUGAAUACUCAUUACUUUCACAGUGAGCGUCGAGGAGUCUGAGAGAACCUGUUGGCUGCCAGUAAGGACUGGGCUGCAGUGCUCAGCCCUUCUGAGUGGCUGGUAGAGAAGAAAAGUGUUGUGUAAGCCAACUGGCUGUUCUCAGUGACAGUGAUACCAACCACCUCUUCUGCAGAGCAAGCAGACACUGUGAGAAGAUCAUCUCCAAGUCACCAAUGAGAACACCUUGGCAAGAACCAGCAUGCUUUUUGUUCUUCACCUGCUGUGGUGCAGAUUUGUACUACUUAACGUAACCAGCAAGAGUUYGUUGAGCGGCUGAAGUCUGAAGCAAACACAGUCAUAGGUAGUUACCUUAGCUUCCCACCAUCCAUUCAGGUUGAUAGAAUUUAGAAAGUGCCAAGGAAAAACUAAGCUUUAUCUACGUUGGCAAAUAUUUUGCUGGAUAUUUUCU
This 709-nucleotide long non-coding RNA is filed under the name Apteryx rowi (Okarito brown kiwi). RNAcentral's name for it is "lncRNA (ENSARWG00000003482.1)". Lineage: Eukaryota; Metazoa; Chordata; Aves; Apterygiformes; Apterygidae. The record is from RNAcentral.